UACGAAGGGUGCAAGCGUUACUCGGAAUUACUGGGCGUAAAGCGUGCGUAGGUGGUUUGUUAAGUCUGAUGUGAAAGCCCUGGGCUCAACCUGGGAAUUGCACUGGAUACUGGCAGACUAGAGUGCGGGAGAGGAUGGCGGAAUUCCUGGUGUAGCAGUGAAAUGCGUAGAUAUCAGGAGGAACAUCCGUGGCGAAGGCGGCCAUCUGGACCAGCACUGACACUGAGGCACGAAAGCGUGGGGAGCAAACAGG
RNAcentral lists this ribosomal RNA (253 nucleotides) under uncultured bacterium. RNAcentral describes it as "partial 16S ribosomal RNA". It matches the Rfam family "Bacterial small subunit ribosomal RNA", at positions 524 to 776 of the family's 1533-position model. The record is from RNAcentral.